UUUUUAUUAUUUUGAGGUGCAUUAAAAACAAUAAUAAAAAGUACAAAAUGUCAACAGACAGUGCAAAUGCGUAUUAAUAGUUGUCUCUCUGCCUCUGGCUGCAGCAGCAGCUGUGUGCCUUUGCGUGUGUGUGACUGUCCCGCUCGCUCCGGCUCGGCUGUCGGGCCUCGUGCGGCGGCCAGUCAACUCGGUCUUUCAGUCAACUCGUUCAUCUGUCUGGAUCUUUCGUUCACUCGGUCUUUCAGUCAACUCGUUCACCAUCUGGAUCUUUCGUUCACUCGGUCUCUCGUUCAACUCGUUCAUCCGUCUGGGUCUUUCGUUCACUCGGUCUUUCGUUCAACUCGUUCAUCCGUCUGGGUCUUUCAUUCAACUCGGUCUUUCGUUCACUCGGUCUUUCGUUCAACUCGUUCAUCCGUCUGGAUCUUUCGUUCACUCGGUCUUUCGUUCAACUCGUUCAUCGGUCUGGGUCUUUCGUUCAACUCGGUCUUUCGUUCAUUUGACCCGUUCUUUCAGUCAACUAGGUCUUUCGUUCAUUUGACCCGUUCUUUCAGUCAACUAGGUCUUUCGUUCAUUUGACCCGUUCUUUCAGUCAACUCGGUCAUCCCGGUCUUUCAGUCAGCUCAGUAGUACUGCUGCUGCUUCUCUAAGCCCCACCCACACACAGAACGAGGCGCGACGAUAGGAUAAGACAGGCAAGCAGUCCCUCUUCAGCCAAUCAAAAGAACUGAACGGAUUGAACGGGUCAUUUAGGGGGGGAGAACUAGUUCAUUUUGUUCAUCAAAAAGAACUAGUUCUUUUGAUCCAUCCGUUCAAGACCGACACACCACUAAAGAACAUUUUACAGGCAGGUAAGUGACUUUAGUCAAGAUAACAAUGAACAAAUGCGGUGAAUAGUUUAAGUGUCUGCUGACAUGUUGAAUAUCUGUAUAAUUGUAGCAGUAAAAAAAAAGCCCAUAAAAGUGGCAUGGGGGGCGGCCCACCAAGCCAGGAUUUCACCCCAGCGGAGGAGCUGGCCCUCCACGCGAAUAAAGAGAGGCCAGUGGUGGAGGGGAUCCAGGGAGGGACGGCCACAGACUGUGUCCCAGCAACACAAACUGGCUGCUUCAUACAAGGUACAUAUUGCAGUACGACUGCACAUGAAACACAAUUAAAUAAAUAUAUUAUACUGUCUGACUUUGGAUUUCCUUGCAGUGUCUGGGAACACACUGACACUUUUGGGAGCCACCAGAAGAUGAUCCGG
Non-coding RNA from Xyrichtys novacula (pearly razorfish), 1240 nucleotides. The record is from the annotation of a GenBank genome assembly. NCBI's taxonomy places the organism in Eukaryota, Metazoa, Chordata, Actinopteri, Labriformes, Labridae.